Long non-coding RNA from Solanum tuberosum (potato), 726 nucleotides. RefSeq lists it as uncharacterized. The transcript has 4 exons. Lineage: Eukaryota; Viridiplantae; Streptophyta; Magnoliopsida; Solanales; Solanaceae. The record is from RefSeq and is a predicted model, not a curated record.
CAAAACCUUCCUCCAAAACUUUUUAACUCUUCAAGACCUUGGAAGAUUAGUGAAUAAGUUGUCAAGUGCCGCUUUAAGUCUUUCUAGCGAUCUUAGUUUCAAAGACCUUGGAGAGUAGUGAGUAAGUUGUCAAGUGCCGCAUGAAGCUUUAGUCUCCAAUGAUGAAAUUCAACAAGAAGUAGAAGAAAAUCCCAACCAACAAGAAAACACGAUGGAAAAUCCCAAUGAUGAAAUCCAGCAAGAAAACACGAUGGAAAAUUCCAAUGAUGAAAUUCAGGAAAUCCAGCAAGAAGUAGAAAAUCCCAACCAGCAAGAAAACACGAUGGAAAAUCCCAAUGAAUCAUGAGUGUCCGGCAAUGUUACUUCUACCUUUAUCCUUAAGUGAAGGAUUAUCCUUAAAUGCCUUUGUGGCAAAAGGAUUUUCCUUAAGUGCCUUUGUGGCAAAUGGAUUAUCCUUAAGUGCCUUUGUGGCAAAGGGAUUAGAUAUUUCUGAGUGGCAAAAGAAUUAGAUUCGAUAUUUUUGAGGCCUAGGGUAGUGCAUUUUUCUGAACAUUGUUGUAGAACGGCGAUUUUACUUCUAGAAUUAAAUGCCUUAAAUGCAUUGUGCUUAAAUGCCUUUGUGGCAAAAGGAAUAGACUUGAUAUUUUUGAGGGUUAGGGAGAACAUUUUUUCUGAACAUUGUACCACAUAUAGUAUCUUUUCUUGAAUAAAUAAAUAAAAAAACUG